CGACCUGUACGGGUUACAGGAUGAGAAGUCAGCAGAGGUCAUAGUAACUGGAGAAACGAGCAGGGACUGCCGAAACCAUAUCCCUGACGGUCUCACAAACCAGUGAAGGAC
Lunatimonas lonarensis is the source of this 111-nucleotide non-coding RNA. Lineage: Bacteria; Pseudomonadati; Bacteroidota; Cytophagia; Cytophagales; Cyclobacteriaceae. The record is from Rfam.